RNAcentral lists this ribosomal RNA (311 nucleotides) under uncultured bacterium. RNAcentral's name for it is "bacterial SSU rRNA". It matches the Rfam family "Bacterial small subunit ribosomal RNA", at positions 28 to 337 of the family's 1533-position model. The record is from RNAcentral.
GACAAACGCUGGCGGCGUGCCUAAGACAUGCAAGUCGGACGCGGGCUUCGGCUCGAGUGGCGGACGGGUGAGGAACGCGUGACUAACCUGCCCUGCGGUGGGGGAGUACCGCUCAGAAAUAGGGCGGCUAAGACCGCAUACGACCAGCGUCUUGGGGGUAGUGCUGGGGAAAGGACCGAAAGGACGCCGGAGGGAGGGGGUCGGCGGUCGGAUUAGCUAGUUGGUGGGGUAAGGGCCGUACCAAGGCGGUGAUCCGUAGCNGGUCUGGAGAGGACGGCCAGCCACACUGGGACUGAGACACGGCCCAGACU